GACAGAGGGUGCGAACGUUGUUCGGAAUUACUGGGCGUAAAGCGCGUGUAGGCUGUUCGGAAAGUCGGGUGUGAAAGCCCUGGGCUCAACCUAGGAAGUGCACUCGAAACUCCCGAACUGGAGUCCCGGAGAGGAAGGUGGAAUUCUCGGUGUAGAGGUGAAAUUCGUAGAUAUCGAGAGGGACAUCGGUGGCGAAGGCGGCCUUCUGGACGGUGACUGACGCUGAGACGCGAAAGCGUGGGGAGCAAACAGG
RNAcentral lists this ribosomal RNA (253 nucleotides) under uncultured bacterium. Its description in RNAcentral is "partial 16S ribosomal RNA". It matches the Rfam family "Bacterial small subunit ribosomal RNA", at positions 524 to 776 of the family's 1533-position model. The record is from RNAcentral.